AAACUAUAACUGUUUUAAUGAGCCAUUCGCAGUUUAGCCGUAUAAAAGCUUAUACUUAGACAUGCAUGGCUUAAUCUUUAAGACAAGCAUAUGA
This 94-nucleotide ribosomal RNA is filed under the name Toxoplasma gondii ME49. Its description in RNAcentral is "Toxoplasma gondii rRNA TGME49_460210". The record is from RNAcentral. Lineage: Eukaryota; Apicomplexa; Conoidasida; Eucoccidiorida; Sarcocystidae.